RNAcentral lists this unclassified non-coding RNA (239 nucleotides) under Hevea brasiliensis (rubber tree). The record is from RNAcentral. Lineage: Eukaryota; Viridiplantae; Streptophyta; Magnoliopsida; Malpighiales; Euphorbiaceae.
UUUUUUUUUUUGAGGUGAAUCAUACAUUUUCUAUUUGAUUGAUGAAUAAAUGGGACAGAUGAAUUGUAACACAAUUACAGUUUUGUUAUGAAAAAAAAAAUUACGAAAGCUGCAUCAGAAUAGAAACUUCGAUAAAAAUAAGCUUCAAUGCAUUGUCAUCAUAUGGAAGAAUGGGCACUUGGCAUUGGCAAGCUAUGAAUUCAAUCACUGAUUUAUCAAAGGUUUUGGAAAUAUUAAGC